GACGAACGCUGGCGGCGUGCUUAACACAUGCAAGUCGAACGGAAAGGCCCUGCUUUUGUGGGGUGCUCGAGUGGCGAACGGGUGAGUAACACGUGAGUAACCUGCCCUUGACUUUGGGAUAACUUCAGGAAACUGGGGCUAAUACCGGAUAGGAGCUCCUGCUGCAUGGUGGGGGUUGGAAAGUUUCGGCGGUUGGGGAUGGACUCGCGGCUUAUCAGCUUGUUGGUGGGGUAGUGGCUUACCAAGGCUUUGACGGGUAGCCGGCCUGAGAGGGUGACCGGCCACAUUGGGACUGAGAUACGGCCCAGACUCCUACGGGAGGCAGCAGUGGGGAAUAUUGCACAAUGGGCGGAAGCCUGAUGCAGCAACGCCGCGUGCGGGAUGACGGCCUUCGGGUUGUAAACCGCUUUCGCCUGUGACGAAGCGUGAGUGACGGUAAUGGGUAAAGAAGCACCGGCUAACUACGUGCCAGCAGCCGCGGUGAUACGUAGGGUGCGAGCGUUGUCCGGAUUUAUUGGGCGUAAAGGGCUCGUAGGUGGUUGAUCGCGUCGGAAGUGUAAUCUUGGGGCUUAACCCUGAGCGUGCUUUCGAUACGGGUUGACUUGAGGAAGGUAGGGGAGAAUGGAAUUCCUGGUGGAGCGGUGGAAUGCGCAGAUAUCAGGAGGAACACCAGUGGCGAAGGCGGUUCUCUGGGCCUUUCCUGACGCAGAGGAGCGAAAGCGUGGGGAGCGAACAGGCUUAGAUACCCUGGUAGUCCACGCUGUAAACGGUGGGUACUAGGUGUGGGGUCCAUUCCACGGGUUCCGUGCCGUAGCUAACGCUUUAAGUACCCCGCCUGGGGAGUACGGCCGCAAGGCUAAAACUCAAAGGAAUUGACGGGGCCCCGCACAAGCGGCGGAGCAUGCGGAUUAAUUCGAUGCAACGCGUAGAACCUUACCUGGGUUUGACAUGGAUCGGGAGUGCUCAGAGAUGGGUGUGCCUCUUUUGGGGUCGGUUCACAGGUGGUGCAUGGCUGUCGUCAGCUCGUGUCGUGAGAUGUUGGGUUAAGUCCCGCAACGAGCGCAACCCUUGUUCACUGUUGCCAGCACGUUAUGGUGGGGACUCAGUGGAGACCGCCGGGGUCAACUCGGAGGAAGGUGGGGAUGACGUCAAGUCAUCAUGCCCCUUAUGUCCAGGGCUUCACGCAUGCUACAAUGGCUGGUACAGAGAGUGGCGAGCCUGUGAGGGUGAGCGAAUCUCGGAAAGCCGGUCUCAGUUCGGAUCGGGGUCUGCAACUCGACCUCAUGAAGUCGGAGUCGCUAGUAAUCGCAGAUCAGCAACGCUGCGGUGAAUACGUUCCCGGGGCU
This 1346-nucleotide ribosomal RNA is filed under the name uncultured bacterium. Its description in RNAcentral is "partial 16S ribosomal RNA". It matches the Rfam family "Bacterial small subunit ribosomal RNA", at positions 28 to 1381 of the family's 1533-position model. The record is from RNAcentral.